UGUCGUCAGCUCGUGUUGUGAAAUGUUGGGUUAAGUCCCGCAACGAGCGCAACCCUUAUCCUUUGUUGCCAGCGGUCCGGCCGGGAACUCAAAGGAGACUGCCAGUGAUAAACUGGAGGAAGGUGGGGAUGACGUCAAGUCAUCAUGGCCCUUACGACCAGGGCUACACACGUGCUACAAUGGCGCAUACAAAGAGAAGCGACCUCGCGAGAGCAAGCGGACCUCAUAAAGUGCGUCGUAGUCCGGAUUGGAGUCUGCAACUCGACUCCAUGAAGUCGGAAUCGCUAGUAAUCGUGGAUCAGAAUGCCACGGUGAAUACGUUCCCGGGCCUUGUACACACCGCCCG
This 346-nucleotide ribosomal RNA is filed under the name Escherichia coli. RNAcentral's name for it is "bacterial SSU rRNA". It matches the Rfam family "Bacterial small subunit ribosomal RNA", at positions 1050 to 1396 of the family's 1533-position model. RNAcentral also lists the same sequence under 1 other name. The record is from RNAcentral. Lineage: Bacteria; Pseudomonadati; Pseudomonadota; Gammaproteobacteria; Enterobacterales; Enterobacteriaceae.